AUGUAUAACUUUCUCUGACUUUCUAGGAUGUGUUUUAUGCCACUUCUUUUUCUGUCUCAUUUUGUCCACCCGACUUUUAACGUUGUGCGUGAAUACACAAAGGUUGCCGACCUCUGGUCUAGUCCAUAGUGGGGCCAGCAGGAGAUCAUCUUGAGUGGAGACAAGUCAGCAGCGCAGAGACGUCAUCAACUGAUGAGAGGGGGGCAGAGCAGAAAAGAGACGGCAGUUGAGCAAACGUCACUUUUUGUUCCAUCACCGGACACAUGUUGGUGUGUUCAUGGCAUUUUCAGACUGGUGGAGUAAAUGAACAAUAUACGUGGCCUCAAAUAAGGAUUAAAAGUCCAAUAAAAUCCAUGUGUGCUGGGAAAAAAACAUAUGAGUACAACAUUAAGGAAAACAUACGAACUUAAGGG
Entelurus aequoreus (snake pipefish) is the source of this 413-nucleotide long non-coding RNA. RefSeq lists it as uncharacterized. The record is from RefSeq and is a predicted model, not a curated record. The transcript has 4 exons. NCBI's taxonomy places the organism in Eukaryota, Metazoa, Chordata, Actinopteri, Syngnathiformes, Syngnathidae.